Molecule: RNase P RNA, 353 nt
Filed under: Salinisphaera sp. Q1T1-3
Lineage: Bacteria; Pseudomonadati; Pseudomonadota; Gammaproteobacteria; Salinisphaerales; Salinisphaeraceae
Description: Bacterial RNase P class A
Rfam family: Bacterial RNase P class A
About the family: Ribonuclease P (RNase P) is a ubiquitous endoribonuclease, found in archaea, bacteria and eukarya as well as chloroplasts and mitochondria. Its best characterised activity is the generation of mature 5'-ends of tRNAs by cleaving the 5'-leader elements of precursor-tRNAs.
Source: Rfam by way of RNAcentral
GGAGCCGGCCAUGCAGUCGCGGCAUCGCCCUGCGGUGUCGAGGAAAGUCCGGGCUCCACAGGGCAGGACGCCAGGUAACUCCUGGGAGGCGCGAGCCUACGGAAAGUGCAACAGAGAGUAGACCGCCUACGGUCCGCAUGCGGACCCGGCAAGGCUGAAAGGGUGCGGUAAGAGCGCACCGCGCGUUCGGUAACGAGUCGUGGCACGGUAAACCCCGUCCGGAGCAAGACCAAAUAGGAGGACGACGUGCGGCCCGCAUAGUCCUCGGGUAGGUCGCAUGAGGCGUUCGGCGACGAGCGCCCCAGAUGAAUGACUGCGCGCGACAGAACCCGGCUUAUCGGCCGGCUCCUUUU